UCAGGGGAUAACAUUACGAGAGGAACUGAGACCCUCGCAAGUCUCGUUAUCGCAUCACAUUCAAAAGGUGAAAACACCACAAGAUUUACCGAAAAUCUGCGUGAUCCAAUCGCAAAAGAAAUUUAAAACGAAGAAAAUGCUUCCAUAGAAUCGCCCUCUAAAAUUGCCCGCUCUUAAAGUUUACAUGCUAUUUGGCGAAAGUUUAAUCUACGAUGGAGUGAAAUCUGUCGUCUGCUAGGGCGUCCUUAGCAGCAAUCGGAAAACCUUUAGAGCGGAAAACAUUACUAAAGGAACCAAGAUACACAAAAUUCAUCUCAUCGCAUCGCACUUCAAAGGUAAAAUUUAUACAUUGAAUUUCCUGAUUAAAGAUAUUCUUAUGCUGCAUUGGAAAUUCUAAUAAAAAUUCUAAAAAAGCGACACAAGUCGCUUCUUUCGGAUCCGUCUUCAAAGAAAAACGAUAAUCUUUUCAGCGAUGUUUUAAAUGAAGAGAAUUUAAUGGAAAAGGGAAAAUACCUCCAACAUCCCCAGUAAUACUUCGUAUGCAAAAGAAAAACAGAAAUGAAAAUUCAAGUUUCGGUGUUCCAAACGAAAGGUCAACAUCGCUGCAGCCACUAAUAGUCAACACUCAAAGGUCGCUUUAUAUUUAUGAUCCAAAUACUCAAACUUGGAAGCCAUAAAACGUUUUUUGCAAACAAUAGGAUUGAAUUUUGAUUUAUAUUGUAUACCUCCUUGGAAUGUUUCCCUGGAACCACCCUCUUAUCCUAUUCUUAU
Long non-coding RNA from Belonocnema kinseyi, 771 nucleotides. RefSeq lists it as uncharacterized. NCBI's taxonomy places the organism in Eukaryota, Metazoa, Arthropoda, Insecta, Hymenoptera, Cynipidae. The record is from RefSeq and is a predicted model, not a curated record. The transcript has 3 exons.